UUGCACGUAGAUGUAAUACUAUUGAAAGUACAUGUAUGAAUUUUCCUAGAAUUUUUUGUGAUAAUUUUUAGUUGGUGUACACGGUAUGUACACGCGAGGGCAUGUGUACAUAGGAUACGCUCCCAAAGUAAACAUGCUAAUGAUAGGAUUAAUUAUUUCUAACACAGAUGCCAUAUACAAACUAAAUUUUACGACAUAAAUGCAAAAUUGAUGUAUAAACCAUCGACAAGCACCAUCGAUAUCCCCUGCAAACCAGCCAAGCAGUCAUCAUGUGCAUGGGAGGGUCCAUUCCAAUAUGAACAUGAUUUCAACACGACAUACUUGUGCUGAGGGUAUUCUGACUGAUUCUCAUGUGUUGUGAUACUUGGAGACAAGAGAGUUCAAGAUUGGUUACCAAGUAGCCAGAGAUGUUACUGAAAUGCAUAAAAAGAAAUAAAGAUUUAUUUCGAAAGAAGAAUUGUAUGUGUAUAACAUAUAGUUGAGAUAUAAAAUCAUAUCUUUUGGCACACCCGUCGAUUAUAAAUAACAGUACAUGUAAGUGACAGCUGCUAUAAAUGUGUCAGAAAUGUAAUUAUUUGAGGGCAAACCAGCAUACAUGAUUUAAGUGGCAGCUCUUAUGGCACGUUUUACUACCGGUAGUAACAAAGCAGUAGAAUUUCAAUGAAAGGGUCUUCUAAAAACUUCAAACUUUGAUGCUAUAAAGAAGAUACAGAUACGAAUCACAACCUCCUAGCUUUAUUCUGAACUCUGACGCACAUAACUUCAGCCAUAUUAAUUGCACUAUAAUCAAUAAAGGUCCAUACCAGACGAAAAAUAUGAAAUAAGUGUGUCCUCCAAAAAAAUAAGAUUUGCUGCUCAAUAUAUACAGUAACCUUGUAUCAUCCAACACUCACUGGCUCAGGCCACCUUACUAUAAUUUUCUGAUCAAACAAAACCAGCAGCUUGUAUGAGCUUGCCUGCUUUAGAAUGAUUUCGUUCAUUGCUUUUGGGCUCCCCUGCAAUAGCCCAGGAUGUACAGAGAUAGGCUUUAGAGGCAUCAGCAAUUAUACAAUUGGCCCUGGAUACUCAGAGAAUCUGACCAGGGUAUAGAGAGCAAUGGCGUCAGGCGUCUAUUGGACGGGAUGAGGAUUUGUACGCUCACUGCUCGGUUCAAUUUGGAGGACCCAAAUGCACUAACAAAUACCAGUAACUCCUACCAUUUAAUAUUAGUUAUGUAACAAUAAUAAUGACAAUAGUUUGCCCUAGUUACAAAAUACCUGAACAACUAUUUUUCAUCCUUGAUGAGCUCAAAACGAAUUCUUCUGCCCAUAGAAAAUAACCCCUUGCAGCUCCGCACAGGUGCAUUUUUUUUCUGAAUCAAAAUGUUUUAUUGUUGAUUAUUCAACAUUGGUUUCUAUUUCUCAAACGAGAUUGGUUUC
Non-coding RNA from Oryza sativa Japonica Group (Japanese rice), 1418 nucleotides. NCBI's taxonomy places the organism in Eukaryota, Viridiplantae, Streptophyta, Magnoliopsida, Poales, Poaceae. The record is from RefSeq and is a predicted model, not a curated record.